CGGCGGACGGGUGAGUAAUGCCUGGGAAAUUGCCCUGAUGUGGGGGAUAACCAUUGGAAACGAUGGCUAAUACCGCAUAAUAGCUUCGGCUCAAAGAGGGGGACCUUCGGGCCUCUCGCGUCAGGAUAUGCCCAGGUGGGAUUAGCUAGUUGGUGAGGUAAUGGCUCACCAAGGCGACGAUCCCUAGCUGGUCUGAGAGGAUGAUCAGCCACACUGGAACUGAGACACGGUCCAGACUCCUACGGGAGGCAGCAGUGGGGAAUAUUGCACAAUGGGCGCAAGCCUGAUGCAGCCAUGCCGCGUGUAUGAAGAAGGCCUUCGGGUUGUAAAGUACUUUCAGCAGUGAGGAAGGCGAGGUCGUUAAUAGCGGGCUCGUUUGACGUUAGCUGCAGAAGAAGCACCGGCUAACUCCGUGCCAGCAGCCGCGGUAAUACGGAGGGUGCGAGCGUUAAUCGGAAUUACUGGGCGUAAAGCGCAUGCAGGUGGUUUUGUUAAGUCAAGAUGUGAAAAGCCCGGGGCUCAACCUCGGAAUUGCAUUUGAAACUGGCAGACUAGAGUACUGUAGAGGGGGGUAGAAAUUUCAGGUG
Molecule: ribosomal RNA, 587 nt
Filed under: Vibrio brasiliensis
Lineage: Bacteria; Pseudomonadati; Pseudomonadota; Gammaproteobacteria; Vibrionales; Vibrionaceae
Description: bacterial SSU rRNA
Rfam family: Bacterial small subunit ribosomal RNA
Source: RNAcentral